UACGUAGGGUGCAAGCGUCGUCCGGAAUUAUUGGGCGUAAAGGGUGUGUAGGCGGUUGUGUUAGUCUUCUGUUAAAUUCUUCGGCUUAACCGGGGGCAUGCAGAGGAAACGGCACAACUAGAGGAUGCGAGAGGUGAAUGGAACUCAUGGAGUAGGGGUGAAAUCCGUUGAUAUCAUGGGGAACACCGAAUGCGAAGGCAAUUCACUGGCGCACUCCUGACGCUGAGACACGAAAGCGUAGGUAGCGAAUGGG
This 253-nucleotide ribosomal RNA is filed under the name uncultured bacterium. Its description in RNAcentral is "partial 16S ribosomal RNA". It matches the Rfam family "Bacterial small subunit ribosomal RNA", at positions 524 to 776 of the family's 1533-position model. The record is from RNAcentral.